Molecule: long non-coding RNA, 3830 nt
Filed under: Strigops habroptila (Kakapo)
Lineage: Eukaryota; Metazoa; Chordata; Aves; Psittaciformes; Psittacidae
Description: lncRNA (ENSSHBG00005019619.1)
Source: RNAcentral
UUUUUUUUUUUCAAUCUACAUAGAAUAUGUGAACAGUUUCCCUUUGAUGCUUUAAAAAUAAACUGGAUAUAACCAGUGAUACUGACAGCCUUUGCUAUUAAUUUGAGGCUUCUACUCAGUUUUGCAAUCACCACUUUUGAAUAGAAAAAGGAUUAUCAAUCAUCUCACUCUCUGCAUUUCAUGUGCUAGGAAAAUGCUAUUGUGUUCAAAUUACCAUUCCUGUAGGAAAAUAUUUAGGACCCUUCUGGUUUGUCUCCCACUCUGAAAAAAAUUGACAUCUGUUUUGCUGCAAUUAAGGAGAAAUGCAAACACAUACACAAGUAAUAAAAGCUCGAAACUACAUUUUGUCACUGCUAUUUGACAGCUGUUACAGUAACCUUUGAAAUAAAUCCUCUGCUGAAAAAUACGAUUUUUCAGAAGCCGACCAGAGUCUUGAAGGUGAGGUUGAUGCAGAAUGCAGAAAUUGGACUGGGUCCUAAAUUCUCAAAAUAUUGAGAGAUUACAAUUUCCUGAACAAGUAUUUCUUAAAAAUGGUGAGAAACACCAAAUUCAUCUGCUUUCCUAAGUACGGAGUCUCAAAACCUUUACACUGCUGAAGGCUUGACACAGGACUUAACUCAUUCUGGAAGCUGAUGCUACAGAGGUCUCCAUGAAGUCUCCAUCCCUCUCGUACCACUUUCCCUGUUUGCACAGGACUGGCCACAGUGAGAUGUUGCUUUGCUUCUUUCUUAAGGACAUAUCUAGAAAGUGGUAACAAAAGUUGAAACUCAUUCGGCAUAAUUUUUAAUCAAAUUUGGUUUUGCAGCUGUGGAAAAAAAGAGAACAUUUUUGGUCGGUUUUUGUUUUGUUUUGUAUUUGUUUGUUUUUUAAUUGAUAUUGAAAAAUAAGAUUGCACAUUUCCCCCCAAAUUGAAAAAUUUCAAAUUAAAUGUAUGGAUGACUUGGUUGGACUCCAGGAGAUUGUAGCUCUUGAAUACAGGACUACAAGGUCGCAGAAAAGACCUAAUGUAGUUGGAAAGUCAUCAGAGAAGGUAGGAUGAAGGCCACUCAGUGCAUGCACUGUUUUGCUUUGGACUGCUGGGUUCUUUGCUAUGAAACAUGUUUUUGGUGAACUUAAUUCUCCAGUCAGUGCAGGCUGACCCAAGCCUUGCCAGUGACCUGAACAAGAGCAAGAUGGGAAAGGAAUGGUAUACUAACAUCAGGAGGGUCUACGGCGGCUGGAGGUAGGAAGGGGGUUUGCAAGUCACAGGGAAGAAAACACAAAGAGAGGGAAUAGGGAUGAAAUGAGAUAAGUAGAAAGCAAGGCAAAGAGGAAAGAACAAAAUGAGAGAUGGGGAAAGUAACAAAUAAGUUGGUGAAAAGGGGAAGCCUAGGAAAAGCUUUAUAAUUGGGCAAAAGCAUGUAGUCAUUUAUCCCCAGAAGACUUCCGAGUUUCAGCAACUUACAGAUCAAAGACUUCCCAAGUCAGCAGAUGUGUUGUAUUUUAUAGCCAUUUUUUUUUUCCUGAAUUUGUCUAUUCUGUCCUUAAAAACUUUAGGCAUCUGUGAGAUUUUGUAGCCAAGUCCCAUAAUUUAACUUUAUGCCAUGACACUACCUACUUCUCUUUAUUGUUUUGAACCUGUUACCAGUUGGUUUAUCUGGAACCCCUACAUUUUAUGUUGAAGAAAUAGCAAAGCAAGCAGUUCCUGUCCAACUUCUUCAGUAACUUAAGAUUCUGUAGAUCUUUAGCUAACUUUUUUAAGUGGGCCAUCACCUGUACACAGAGUUGAAGAUGGAGGCACAGCACGAAUAUUAACAGUGACAUAAUUAUGUUUUCUUUCUCUGUCCUACCAAUUGCUGGCAAAGUCCCCCAGGUAGGAUCAUGAGAUUCAGCAGUGGCUGUUGUUAACAAAGAUCACCACUCUUAUGUUGUAAUGGAGUAUCUGUCCCAGGCCUUGCUGACACAAUGGUCACUGAUAGCUAUCUACUGCUCAGAAUGCUUUUUAGCCUUGUUAUGGCUUGGAAUUGGGAAUCUAGCAAUAGGACUGUCAAUUCAGCCAUAUCAACUUCUUAGUGACAUGUAUGUAGACAGAUGUUAGAAAGAGGAGGGCAGCCUUAGGACUUGAGGACUUUCAGAAAUGUUUUCAAAGAUGGUCUUGAUUUGCUAGCUACAUCUGUAUUUGUCUAUGGAUAACCUCCGAGUCCAGGACCCAAAAGUAGGUUUAAUGGGUUCAUUUCAUACAUUUGAAGUUUGGGAAAGGACCAGUACAAUCUCACUGCACACACACGAGUUGAUCCCAAAAUAACUAUGACCUGCCAAUGCAAUCACAAAAACAAGGCACUGAGAGGUCUUGGGAGCAAUGUUCCUAGCAGAGUUUGGAAGGGAUUAAUAAAAUUGUCCUUGGUGCUGGCAAGAUACCCUCCAGAACACUGCAUGCCAUUCUGGUCAUCUUUGUUGAAGAGAAAUAAAUAAUAAUGAAACUGGAGCAGAAAAUAAUUGCUGAGAUGAGGGAGAGAGCAAAGUUAGGGGAGCUCAUCUAGCUUAGCAUAGUCAAACAACUGCUAAGGGGGACAUUUUUGCCUGUAAGCGCACAAAAAGUAAAAAGGGUAAAUGCUAUGGAGUGGGAGCUAUUUAAGGCCAAUGCUGGCACAAGGAUAAAUGGAUACAAACCAGUCAUAAAUAUAUAUUUAGCAAGAAAAUCAGAAGAAGGUUCUGGGAACAGCUUCCCAGUGGGAAUAAUGGUGGCAAAAGAUCUUAAGAUGAAACUUGAUACAUUUAUGAAAGGAAUUAUAUAAUACAGCAUUUGCAAAGGCCGAAUGGCUGCAGCAACCCAGGAAAUCCCUCCACCUUAUGCUCCAGUUUAUUUUGAGCCCUUAAAGGCAAAGAGUAGCAUUUCACCCUCCCAUUCCUCUUCCUGCUCCAGCUAUCUGCAGCCGGUCUUCAGCACCUCUCUUAAAAACUGUUUAAAGAUUGAACAAGACACCGAAUUUAUCUUGCACUUCUGAAUUCUGUUUUGCUGUUCCUCAAAAAGGAAAAGGAAAGUUUAGUAAAGCAUUGCCUAAUUUAUAUAUGCAUAAAUUUGUAUUUAAUAAAUCUUCUCAUACAUGUAAAGAACUAUGCUUCACCCAAAUUUUCCUACUUCCAGACUUGCUUAUUAACCAACUUGCCACAGCAUCCAACCAAUUCGCAAGCAAGUGGUAUUUUUCUCCAGGUCGCCCUGCUCAAAUGUAUUUGAUAGCCAUUCUCUAGGUAAUGCAAUUACUAACCAAACCAUGAGAGAUAUCCCACUUGUAUUCCUGCAAGGGACGUCUUCAUUGUGGUCCAAUGGGUCUAGCAAGAUAAAAAGUCUCUUCAGCGAGGUGUCUUUCCCUGCCAGCCUCAAAAACAUUUGAGGUGGAUUUAUGAAUUAAAGCCAGGAUCUGUCCUUUAGGGAGACACCUGCCUGGUUACAUCAUCUAAUUUUCACGGAGAGAAAGAAAAAAGGGAUGCAUGGGUUCUCCUUUUCCCGUCAGGAUGGUCCUUUCCGUGAUGUAUCUUUUCUAGUAGUAUAGGAAAUGGUUUCAUUUAGCUUCUGGUUUUGUUCCUUGCAGAUUUUUGGAGGUGCCCAGCACCCCUCCAUAUAACAAACAAAUGCCUUCUCACUCCCUUAAAAGAGGCUUUUUUCAAAGGUAUGUUAUCUUUGAUCUCACAUUACUUGCUGUCCAAUAUGAAAAUGACAUGAAGAUUUUUCAUUAAUAUUUUUUUGAGGAAGGCCAAUUUACAAAUGUAUUUGCCUAGCAACCCUUCAAAUGCAAUGUUUGGCUAGCUCUUUCCUGAUCCCUUAGCAGUUGGGGCACAUGCUAAUCUUUGGC